This 2117-nucleotide long non-coding RNA is filed under the name Gossypium barbadense (sea-island cotton). RNAcentral describes it as "long non-coding RNA (GBAR_LNC002001)". Lineage: Eukaryota; Viridiplantae; Streptophyta; Magnoliopsida; Malvales; Malvaceae. The record is from RNAcentral.
AAAAGAACAAAGUUUUGUCCAUCUUUGUUCAUCAUAGCUGAAAGUUAGAGAAGAGAAAGGAGAGGAGAAAGCUCUUGAGUAUUCGGUCAUUAGGAGGAGGAAAAUUGAAGGUAAGUUCUUGGUACCUUGCUUCUAUUUUGAGGUUCAUGAGUUCUUCUUGAUUCUACCUUAACUCUUGAAGCAUAUUUCGGUUUUUGGUUGUGUUGUGAGCAUUUCGUCAUGAAUUAAAAUGAAGGAAAUGGUUGUUGUUUCAUGUUCUUUUGAUGAAAAAUGGAAGAUAUGUGAAGUUGAGCCAAACAAAUGAGCAUGCAUGUGCUUAGAUGCUAAGGGGAAAAAUCGGCUAAUAUGUUGUGCUUUAAAAUGAUGAAAUGGAGAUUAUACUUAAAUAAAAUCAUAGAUAUGUGAUGAUUUAUUGGUGAUAUACAUAUUUUAAAAAAAAUAUGCAUGCAAGUUAUGUGUGAAAGAGUGAUUUGGUAAUAAAUCUGCUUGGGACAGCAGCAGUAAUGUGACUUUGGAAAAUCACCAUAAAUUGUGGGAGAUGAGUUAGAAGCUGUAUAAAUUAUGUAAUUAAAGCUUAAUGAGUCUAGUUUCAAAUGAAAUAAACGAGAACAUAUUUUGAAUUCUAUACAAUAAGAAAUUUGAUUCGUAAUCAAGAGUGGUCAGAUUAGUCAAACAGUGAAACAUGCGAAACUUUGAGAAAAAUCUGGUAUUGAUUGGUCAAACCAAAAAUUUUGAAAAUUUUAUGGAUAUAAGAUAUAUGAGUCUAUUUUCAGGAAAUAUUAACGGCACUUGAUUUGGAGUUUCGUAGCUCCAGUUAUAAAUGAUUUAGUGACUGUUGCUCAGGAAGACAACUUGCAGUGAAAUUAUGAUUAUGUGGUAAACAUUGACAAAAAUUUGUUAAUGAGUUGCUUAUUGAUUUCUUAUAAGCUUACUAUGAUCUAUAGGUGUGGUUGGCCGAAUAUUGUAAGGGGUUAAUACGUAGUUUGUAUUUGAAUAGUUAGAUUAACGUGUUAGUAAUCCAAUUGUAGGCGGUUCGUGUGUGGAUCUCGUCAGCAUAUCGUCGCAAACAGGUGUGUAACUGACACCCUCUCAUAGACUAGAUUGGCAAAAGCAGAAAAGCCGAAAUGCUGAAAAUUCGGUACGCGCGAUUUCGUACAUUUUGAUAAUUUGGACUUAAUGGGCCAAAGAUCGGGUUCAUGGGCCAACGGGCCCAAUUCGGUAAGUAUGCGCGGUAAGUGUUCUGAUAAUACGUAAAUAGUUAGGAUAUGCAUGAAAACCCUAAAAGUAGCUAAAUUACUAUAAUACCUCUAUGUAUGGAAAAUUACUAUUAUACCCAUAGGUGCAAAAUUACCGUUAUACCCCUAGGGUUAAUUUUGACUGAAAAGCAUGACGAUCUGAUUCUGUAUGAUGUAUGCCAUGAUUAUAUAUCUGUUGCAUGGGGACAUGGGUUAUAUUAUGGAGGAAGCGUUCUGGUGGCUAUGCCACAAAUAUCUGAUCUGGUGGCUCUGCCACAUAUAUCUGUUCUGGUGGCUCUGCCACGAUUAUCUGUAUCUGGUGACUCUGCACAUUAUCUGUUCUGGCAGCCAUGCUGCAAAUUCUGUGGUGUGUAGCGGUUGGGUGGGUCGAGUUGUCUCCCCACACGGUGUAAGGUUGGUACGGGGUGUAUACGGUUGGAUAUGGUUGGGUUUCUGCAUAAACAUGUAAUAUCUGUUCUGUUCUGUUAUGGGCCUAUGGGCUUUAUUCUGAAUUCUGUUCUGGGCUAAGGCCAACUUAUUUUAUUUCUGUGGUUUGAGCUAAUAUAGGCUAUGGUUGGGUUAAUUUACACACUGAGUUUCCCCAAACUCACCCCUUUUUAUUUCCAUCCACGCAGGAAAUCCCCAACCAUAGUGGGCAUGGAUCUGUGAGGGAAUUCGGAGUGGCCACCCGUUCUGAAAGUUUGAUUUUCUUCUGGUGAACUGGACAUCCUUUUAAUUACGUUUGAGGUUUUAGGCUUUUAAAUGUAAUAAGGCCGCUUAUUUAUUUUUGAUGGUUUUUAUAUGUUUUAUUAAGAUAGGUAAUAUUUAUAUUUAACUGUUGAAAUUGGAUAGCUUUAGGGCGCGUUUUCAAAAACAGUAAUG